CCCAGUGUCCCCAGUGUCCUCUGUUGUGCCCAGUGUCCUCAUUGUCCUCAGUGCCCCAUUGUCCCCAUUGUCCCGAAUGCCCCCAUUGUCCCCAUUGUCCCCAGUGCCCCUCUGUCCCCACAGGUGUUCCGUUGGGAGCAGCUCCCGACGUCCCUCCGGGGCCGAUUGGCUGGGGCUGAAGGACGAGGAUUUCCUGGGACUGGGGGACGAGGAUUUCCUGGGAAUGGGACAGAAGGACAGGGAUCCCACAGGAAUGGGACAGAAGGACGAGGAUUUCCCAGCACUGGGAUCAAAGGACAAGGAUCACCUGGGAUUGAGAUUGAAGAACAAGGAUUUCCUUGGACUGGGAUCAAAGGACAAGGAUCCCUCAGGAUUGGGAUCAAAGGACAAGGAUUUCCCAGGACUGGGACAGAAGAACAAGGAUUUCCUGAGAUCGGGAUCCAAGGAUGAGGACUUCCUUGGACGGCGACAGAAGAACAAGGAUCCCUCAGGAUUGGGAUCAAAGGAUGAGGAUCACCCAGGAUUGAGAUUGAGGAACAAGGAUUUCCUUGGACUGGGAUCAAAGGAAAAGGAUUUCCUGGGAUCGGGACAGAAGGACAAGGAUCGCCCAGGACUGGGACAGAAGAACAAAGAUCCCUCAGGAUUGGGAUCAAAGGACGAGGAUUUCCCAGGAUUGGGACACAAGGACGAGGAUUUCCCGGGAUUGGGACACAAGGACGAGGAUUUCCCGGGAUUGGGACACAAGGACGAGGAUUUCCCGGGACCGAAGGCCGAGGACCCCCCCAGCCCCGGUGCCCCCGGAUCCCUGCGGAAUUCCCGCCCCCGGAGGGUCCCGGAGCCCCCCGAGCCCGGCAGGUAAAGGGAACCCCCGGGAGAUCCCACCUGGCAUCCAGGAGAUCCAGGUGUGCCAGGUGACAUCACUGUCCCAGGUGUGCCAGGUGACAUCACUGUCCCAGGUGUGCCCAGGUGAUGUCCCUGUCCCAGGUGUGCCCAGGUGAUGUCACUGUCCCAGGUGUGCCAGGUGACAUCACUGUUCCAGUUCCCUCCAGGUGUCUAGGGGGACAUCCCCAUUCCAGGUCUCCUCCAGGUGCCCCAGGUGAUGUCACUGUCCCUGUCCCAGGUGUCCCAGGUGACGUCCCUGUCCCAGGUGGGCCCAGGUGACAUCCCUGUCCCAGGUGUCCCCUCCAGGUGUCCCCAGGGAUGUCCCUGCUCUGGAAUUCCCACCUGAGCUCCUCCCAC
RNAcentral lists this long non-coding RNA (1239 nucleotides) under Junco hyemalis (dark-eyed junco). Its description in RNAcentral is "lncRNA (ENSJHYG00000015210.1)". The record is from RNAcentral. Lineage: Eukaryota; Metazoa; Chordata; Aves; Passeriformes; Passerellidae.